Molecule: long non-coding RNA, 220 nt
Filed under: Olea europaea (common olive)
Lineage: Eukaryota; Viridiplantae; Streptophyta; Magnoliopsida; Lamiales; Oleaceae
Description: long non-coding RNA (OEUR_LNC003910)
Source: RNAcentral
UUCAAUAUGGUACCCAAAUUUCUAAUGUGGGGGAAAAUCUUAUCAUCUGAUCAGUAAAAUAAACUUCAUAUACUUAUGCACCAGUGGAUUACUUAAAUAAUGUAGGGUGUGAUUUUGAAGGCUUAGCUGGUGCGCCUUUGUAAACGCGUGAUUCUAAACCCCACUUUUCUCGAAAGGAGCAGAAAGUCGUAUCUUGAUUUUGAGCCUUCCUGUGACUUCC